Molecule: ribosomal RNA, 1083 nt
Filed under: Triticum aestivum (bread wheat)
Lineage: Eukaryota; Viridiplantae; Streptophyta; Magnoliopsida; Poales; Poaceae
Description: partial small subunit ribosomal RNA
Source: RNAcentral
AUGGCCAGUCCUCUGCGAGCCGCGUUGUUCCUUCUGACCCUGUUGCUCUGCUGUACGCCAUCUUUCGGCCGGCCUAUCCCAGCCACCCUGCCUUCUCUCCCCAGAUCUCACCCCGGAACCCGUGGCCCUUCGCUAUUUGGUUUCGCUUGGGGUUCCUGGCAAAGUAUUGCCAUCUGCUCGGCAUUUGCCCUUGCCGCCGCCGGCCUCGUCGCUCUCCUGAUCGUGUUGUGUUGCCGCUGCGCUGCAGCAGCAGCACCAGCAGCUGCGCCGGCGAGGUCGGCUUGGGGGAAGACAGAAGAAGCUGCUACGGUGACGUCCGCUCCGGGGAUAGCAGCGGCUCCCUCUGCCUUGACGGGGAUACCCGAGGCGGACACCGCGAGCUUAGCCCCGUCUUCUUCCACGCAGCCAGCCACCCUCGCGCUCGCCUACCCGGGCUUCGCCCCGUCUUCUUCCAUCGAGCCAGCCACCGACGCCCGGAUGGAGAUUUCCGAGGAGGCCAAUUCGACGGCUCCACACCCGUCCACGGCCCUCGCGCUCGCCUACCCGGGCUUCUCCUCGUCUUCUUCCACCGAGCCAGCCACCGACGCACGGAUGGAGAUUUCCGAGGAGGCCAAUUUGACGGCUCCACGUCCGUCCACGGCCCUCGCGCUCGCCUACCGGGCUUCGCCCCGUCUUCUUCCACGGAGACGGCCACCGACACCCUUGCUGGGGGGAUGGACGUUUCCGUGGUGCCACGCCCAUCCACGGCCCUCGCGCUCGCCACCCCGAGCUUCGCCCCAUCUUCUUCCACCUAGACAGCCACAGACGCGAUGGAGGUCUCCCCGGCGAGCUUGGCGCCAUCGUCACCAGCCUCUUCUUGGGGGACAUCCUUUCAGAUGGAGCACUACGGUGCGGCACCGGCGGGCUCCACGACGGCACCGGUCUGGAGGACCUAUUUACGGCUGCAGCACUACACGGGAGCUUCUUCGGCUUCAGGACCCGGCGGCUCGACAUCAUUUCAGAUGCAGCAGUAUGGUGCUGCACUCGCCUCCAGGCCAGCUCCGGCGGGUUCCGCGACAUCCGCGACGACCCCGGCCUGGAUGA